UCCUUGGUGGUUCAGUGGUUAGGACUUGGCACUUUCACUGCUGUGGCCUGUGUUCAACCCCUGGUUGGGGAA
RNAcentral lists this transfer RNA (72 nucleotides) under Bos taurus (domestic cattle). It matches the Rfam family "tRNA". Rfam says of the family: Transfer RNA (tRNA) molecules are approximately 80 nucleotides in length. Lineage: Eukaryota; Metazoa; Chordata; Mammalia; Artiodactyla; Bovidae. RNAcentral also lists the same sequence under 5 other names. The record is from Rfam by way of RNAcentral.